RNAcentral lists this unclassified non-coding RNA (1200 nucleotides) under Hevea brasiliensis (rubber tree). Lineage: Eukaryota; Viridiplantae; Streptophyta; Magnoliopsida; Malpighiales; Euphorbiaceae. The record is from RNAcentral.
GGGAUUUGCUCAAUGGAUGCUGGGCUCCUUAUAUUGAACGUGCUAUUACACUGAAACCAUGCUAUGAUGGAGGAGUCAAUGGUGGAGAGGUGGCUUCUAGAAUACUUCAAGAUACAGCUACCGGAAAACAUCACAGUUCACAUGGGCUUAGUGGAGCGCGUAGGCUGCGAGAUGCUAUCGUCCUUGGCUAUCAGCUUCAAAGAAUUACUGGGAAAGAUAUUGCUAUUCCUGAAUGGUAUUCACUUGCGCAAAAUGAACUUAGGUCACGCACUCAAUUGGCAAAUAAGGAAGUUCUCGAUAUUGGCAGUCUUACGAGACAAAGUGAUUACUUUACGAUUCUUCAUGGAGAUCAUCAAGGGCUCCCGGACACACUUGGUUUCUUGAAGAGCUUGGCUGAAAUGGAGUCCUCAGGUCGUCCUCAAAAUAAUAACAAGCUCCAAACACGCGACCAUCUGGCUGCUUCUGCAAUGUUCAAUUGGGAGGAAGAAAUAUUUGUUUCAAGAGCACCCGGAAGAUUGGACGUAAUGGGAGGAAUUGCUGACUAUUCUGGUAGUUUAGUACUACAAAUGCCUACCAGAGAGUCAUGCCAUGUCGCAAUUCAGAGAAACCAUCCAAGCAAGCACAAAUUGUGGAAACAUGCUCAGGCAAGGCAGCCCAAGGAAGGACCAACUGCUGUUCUUCAAAUUGUAUCACUUGGCUCAGAAUUAGGUAAUCGUGGACCAACUUUUGAUAUGGACCUUUCUGAUUUUGUGGAGGAUGGACGGCCAAUUACAUAUGAGAAAGCAUACAAUUAUUUUGCCCGAGACCCAGCCCAGAAGUGGGCAGCGUAUGUUGCUGGGACAAUUCUGGUACUGAUGACUGAAUUAGGCAUCCGUUUUGAGGAUAGCAUUAGCAUUCUGGUAAGUUCUGGUGUUCCUGAGGGCAAAGGUGUAUCUUCUUCUGCUGCUAUAGAAGUGGCCAGCAUGACUGCUGUUGCUGCUGCUCAUGGAUUGAACAUUGACCCCAGACAUCUGGCUCUGCUUUGCCAAAAGGUGGAGAAUCAUAUUGUUGGAGCUCCUUGCGGAGUGAUGGAUCAGAUGGCCUCUGCAUGUGGAGAGGCCAACAAGCUUCUUGCUAUGGUGUGUCAGCCUGCUGAGGUUCUAGGACUUGUUGACAUACCACCCACCAUUCGAUUUUGGGGAAUUGAUUCUGGAAUACGAC